Molecule: long non-coding RNA, 1792 nt
Organism: Brassica napus (rape)
Lineage: Eukaryota; Viridiplantae; Streptophyta; Magnoliopsida; Brassicales; Brassicaceae
Exons: 6
Source: RefSeq, a predicted model, not a curated record
GAGCCUAUACCGAACCAGACCGUGAUAUGAUGUAUUCUAAACGCUGCGUUUUUAAUUAUGCCUUCUAUCGCUCUCCUUCUCCGCCGUAGGUGCAUUUAGGGUUUCCAUGGAAACUGAUUCUUCUUCCUCAGGAUCCAGCAAUCAAUCGGCGCCGUAGUGAAUCUAGAUUUUCCAACGAGCUAUUCAUCUUCUUCCUACUGAUCAAGUAAUCAGUCGAUUACGGAAUCGUUGCUAUUAAAUUCUCUCUUUAAAUCAAUCUACACGAUAUCUCUUCAAAAGCGGUGGUGGUUCGACUAUAAUAAGAUGUUCUUCCACAGUGGAGGUUAGGUUAUUGCCUUUCUGAGAGGCAAGGAACAUCAGGCGAGGUGAUGAACUGAUGUCCGUAGAUACGCUCCUGCUUCCGUUUUAGAAUUCCGAUUGUAUGUAUAUAAGUUGAUUUUCCCCAAAUUAUAAGAAUUUUCACUGAGCGUUUAUUAGUUGUGACUUUCUACGAUUUACUUUCAAGCAAAUCUUAUGCCAGCCACCAUUGGUCCCUAUCUCACGGUGGGGUCGAUGUAUUCCAUAACCGGUUUCGAUGUGGCUCGGUGUAACCCAAACUUCAGGCUGUCGGACUCCUCUUCAUUUGAUUCAUUGGCAAACUCCUCUCUCCUUCUUACUGACUUCAAAGCCGGUCGAUGUAGCACAACCGUCGAAGUGCGGCGACCUCAUCAGUCUCCGCUUGCUUUCUCCAUCGACUUUAACCUAACGUUCUUGCUAAUACUGCUCACCUAAUCAUCAGCAGACGCGUCCGGGGAUGGGUCCACCAAUCGUUGUCUCACUGAUAUCGGCUUUGGUCCUCUCAGAUAUUUUUUACAAAUUUUCUAAAGCUUUAGAGAGAUCUCAAAACGUCGACAGCCAUGGCGACCACCAAAGUCCAGAGGAUUAUGACCCAGCCAAUCCUACGUAACUGAGUUUUAGGGGUUUCAAAGUAAAGUUCGAGUCCAUAUUUGGCUCUUUUGAGCGGAAAGAUCUGAAGACUUAAGAAAUAAUUAAUUGUUCAGGAAUUCAUGGUGUUCUCUUUGUGCUACUGAAUUCAUGGAGUACAAACACUACUGAGGGCUAUGUCUUGAUGCAUGCAUAAGCUACAUAGAUGGUGCUUAUGAUCUUUUCCAACUUGCCACGCUAAGCUAUAUGUUAAUUUAGCGCAGACAUAUUAAUCUUUAUGUUUUUCAUUUUCCUCUGCUGUUUGUCGACAGAAUUUGAGAGCUAAUAUGUAUUUGACUACAUAGAGCUUCAAGCUAUAUUUUCGAAGUGUGAAGAGAGUUUAUUUUUAGCAACUUAUUUGCUUCUUUUGAGAUAUCUAUAUUGAUCAUUAGAACAUAAUAACUUGCAGAAAAGGUAGCAAGAUGGAACAAGGUGACCGAGAAGUAUAAAAAAGUUGCUUUCGUCCUGGACCUGGAUGAUAGAUUUGGAUAUGUAUCUAUGCCCAGCUUAGGCCACAAAAACUUCUCACAGGCCGUAAACAUACAUGAUCGUGACACAAUCGCAUAUACUGGUAUCGUUGGUAUAAUGGAUCACUGGAAGUUAGAUUGGGAUGAGGUAGUGAUACCUCUCUCUGAAGGGUUAUGAGCCGAUUUGAGUCCAUAGGUGCAGGAUUAGUAAUGUCACGAGGUGAUACAGAUUUGAAGGAGUGGCUAAUAUAUUUCCACCUUUGUAUAACGAGUGACAGUUUGUAAAAGGUAAAUUCCAUGCAUGCUUUUUAAAUGUCGUAAUUAGCAGCUUAUGAUGAAUAGUUAUAUUUAAAUUAACUUCA